This 348-nucleotide long non-coding RNA is filed under the name Lathyrus oleraceus (garden pea). RNAcentral's name for it is "Pisum sativum (pea) long non-coding RNA (PSAT_LNC026491)". The record is from RNAcentral. Lineage: Eukaryota; Viridiplantae; Streptophyta; Magnoliopsida; Fabales; Fabaceae.
UUCAUUCAUUCCUUACAUGUCAAUAUAUAGAAUAGUUUUAGGAUAGCAAACGCGGAAAUAACGGAAUACAAAAUAAGGAAGAUCUAGAGAAUAUUGCUGCAAGAUUUAGGUGAGCCACUGAUAAGCAUUUCAUUCAUUCCUUACAUGUCAAUAUAUAGAAUAGUUUUAGGAUAGCAAACGCGGAAAUAACGGAAUACAAAAUAAGGAAGAUCUAGAGAAUAUUGCUGCAAGAUUUAGGUGAGCCACUGAUAAGCUGCCACCUCAUUUCCUCCUAUUUGAAUUUGUUGAUUUAUCAUGUGAUGACAUCUUCUAGAUACUUUGGCAUGUGGACUUCUCUCUUGGGCCUUC